CUGGGAUUAGAUACCCUGUUAUUUAAAUAUAAAUAAAAUAAAUUUAAGUAGUAAAUGAAUAUCAUUAAAUUUAAAUAAUUUGGCAGUAUUUUUUAAAUUAGAGGAACUUGUUUUAUAAUUGAUAAUCCACGUUUAAAAUUACUUAAUUUAUAUUUUUUAUAUAUUGUUGUUUUAAAUUUAUCAUUAUUAAUGAAAUAUUUGAUAUUUUUAAUAUAAAAAUAAUUCAAAUCAAAAUGUAGAAUAAUUAAGAAAAAAUGAGUUACAAUUGUUUUUAAUAUUGGAUUUUUAAUUAAAUAAUUAAAAUAAAUUGGAUUUAAAAGUAAAAAUAAUUAUAUAAUUAUUUUGAAUUAUAUAAAAAAUAUGUACAAAUCGCCC
This 375-nucleotide ribosomal RNA is filed under the name Tapinoma erraticum. RNAcentral's name for it is "partial 12S ribosomal RNA". The record is from RNAcentral. Lineage: Eukaryota; Metazoa; Arthropoda; Insecta; Hymenoptera; Formicidae.